UAAUACGUAGGGGGCAAGCGUUGUCCGGAUUUAUUGGGCGUAAAGAGCUCGUAGGUGGUUCGGUAAGUCGGAUGUGAAAUCUCCAGGCUCAACCUGGAGGGGUCAUUCGAUACUGCCGUGACUAGAGUUCGGUAGGGGAGUGUGGAAUUCCUGGUGGAGCGGUGAAAUGCGCAGAUAUCAGGAGGAACACCCGUAGCGAAGGCGGCACUCUGGGCCGAUACUGACACUGAGGAGCGAAAGCGUGGGGAGCGAACAGGAUUAGAUACCCUGGUAGUCCACGCCGUAAACGUUGGGCACUAGGUGUGGGACUCUAUCGACGGGUUCCGUGCCGUAGCUAACGCAUUAAGUGCCCCGCCUGGGGAGUACGGCCGCAAGGCUA
Molecule: ribosomal RNA, 379 nt
Filed under: uncultured bacterium
Lineage: Bacteria
Description: bacterial SSU rRNA
Rfam family: Bacterial small subunit ribosomal RNA
Source: RNAcentral